UAACUGGCUUGUGGCAGCCA
RNAcentral lists this small nuclear RNA (20 nucleotides) under Arabidopsis thaliana (thale cress). RNAcentral describes it as "snRNA_02046". Lineage: Eukaryota; Viridiplantae; Streptophyta; Magnoliopsida; Brassicales; Brassicaceae. The record is from RNAcentral.